UACGUAGGGUGCAAGCGUUGUCCGGAAUUAUUGGGCGUAAAGAGCUCGUAGGCGGUUCGUCGCGUCGGCUGUGAAAACCCGGAGCUCAACUCCGGGCCUGCAGUCGAUACGGGCGGACUUGAGUGUUGCAGGGGAGACUGGAAUUCCUGGUGUAGCGGUGAAAUGCGCAGAUAUCAGGAAGAACACCCGUGGCGAAGGCGGCUCUCUGGAACGCAACUGACGCUGAGACGCGAAAGCGUGGGGAGCAAACAGG
RNAcentral lists this ribosomal RNA (253 nucleotides) under uncultured bacterium. Its description in RNAcentral is "partial 16S ribosomal RNA". It matches the Rfam family "Bacterial small subunit ribosomal RNA", at positions 524 to 776 of the family's 1533-position model. The record is from RNAcentral.